GCCUACACAUGCAANCUCGAACGGGGAUUGGUAGCAAUACCAUGAGAGUGGCGCACGGGUGAGUAACGCGUAUGCAACCUACCUGUAACAGAGGGAUAGCCCAUAGAAAUGUGGAUUAAUACUUCAUAGUCCUGAUGAGUCGCAUGGCUUAUCAGGUAAAGCUCCGGCGGUUACAGACGGGCAUGCGUGACAUUAGCUAGUUGGUGAGGUAACGGCUCACCAAGGCAACGAUGUCUAGGGGUUCUGAGAGGAUGAUCCCCCACACUGGUACUGAGACACGGACCAGACUCCUACGGGAGGCAGCAGUGAGGAAUAUUGGUCAAUGGGCGCAAGCCUGAACCAGCCAUCCCGCGUGCAGGAUGACGGCCCUAUGGGUUGUAAACUGCUUUUAUACAGGAAGAAAAAUCUCCACGUGUGGGGACUUGCCGGUACUGUAUGGCGUAGGCGGCUUUUUAAGUCAGUGGUGAAAUCCUGUCGCUCAACGAUAGAAUUGCCAUUGANACUGAAGAGCUUGAGUUCAGUUGAGGUAAGCGGAAUGUGUAGUGUAGCGGUGAAAUGCUUAGAUAUUACACAGAACACCGAUUGCGAAGGCAGCUUACUAAACUGACACUGACGCUGAUGCACGAAAGCGUGGGGAUCGAACAGGAUUAGAUACCCUGGUAGUCCACGCCGUAAACGAUGAUCACUCGCUGUAUGCGAUACACAGUAUGCGGCCAAGCGAAAGCAUUAAGUGAUCCACCUGGGGAGUACGAUCGCAAGGUUGAAACUCAAAGGAAUUGACGGGGGCCCGCACAAGCGGAGGAACAUGUGGUUUAAUUCGAUGAUACGCGAGGAACCUUACCUGGGCUUAAAUGGGGAACGACAGCUGCCGAAAGGUGGCCUUCUUCGUUUAUUCGAUGAUACGCGAGGAACCUUACCUGGGCUUAAAUGGGGAACGACAGCUGCCGAAAGGUGGCCUUCUUCGGACGUUCUUCAAGGUGCUGCAUGGUUGUCGUCAGCUCGUGCCGUGAGGUGUCGGGUUAAGUCCCAUAACGAGCGCAACCCUUAUCGUUAGUUGCCAGCGGGUCAAGCCGGGGACUCUAGCGAGACUGCCACCGUAAGGUGAGAGGAAGGUGGGGAUGACGUCAAAUCAGCACGGCCCUUAUGUCCAGGGCUACACACGUGUUACAAUGGCCAGUACAAAGGGCAGCUACCUGGUGACAGGAUGCUAAUCUCGAAAGCUGGUCUCAGUUCGGAUCGAAGUCUG
Molecule: ribosomal RNA, 1246 nt
Filed under: uncultured bacterium
Lineage: Bacteria
Description: partial 16S ribosomal RNA
Rfam family: Bacterial small subunit ribosomal RNA
Source: RNAcentral